GAGAGCCUGAUCCAGCCAUGCCGCGUGAAUGAUGAAGGCCUUAGGGUUGUAAAAUUCUUUCAGCAGGGAAGAUAAUGACGGUACCUGCAGAAGAAGCCCCGGCUAACUCCGUGCCAGCAGCCGCGGUAAUACGGAGGGGGCUAGCGUUGUUCGGAAUUACUGGGCGUAAAGCGCUCGUAGGCGGAUUGGUCAGUCAGGGGUGAAAGCCCGGAGCUCAACUCCGGAACUGCCUUUGAUACUGCCAGUCUUGAGUUCGGGAGAGGUGAGCGGAAUACCGAGUGUAGAGGUGAAAUUCGUAGAUAUUCGGUGGAACACCAGAGGCGAAGGCGGCUCACUGGACCGAUACUGACGCUGAGGAGCGAAAGCGUGGGGAGCAAACAGGAUUAGAUACCCUGGUAGUCCACGCCGUAAACGAUGAGAGCUAGUUGUCUGGCAGCAUGCUGUUAGGUGACGCAGCUAACGCAUUAAGCUCUCCGCCUGGGGAGUACGGCCGCAAGGUUAAAACUCAAAUG
This 512-nucleotide ribosomal RNA is filed under the name Maricaulis sp. RNAcentral's name for it is "bacterial SSU rRNA". It matches the Rfam family "Bacterial small subunit ribosomal RNA", at positions 377 to 907 of the family's 1533-position model. Lineage: Bacteria; Pseudomonadati; Pseudomonadota; Alphaproteobacteria; Maricaulales; Maricaulaceae. The record is from RNAcentral.